Molecule: ribosomal RNA, 497 nt
Filed under: uncultured bacterium
Lineage: Bacteria
Description: partial 16S ribosomal RNA
Rfam family: Bacterial small subunit ribosomal RNA
Source: RNAcentral
GAUGAACGCUGGCGGCGUGCCUAAUACAUGCAAGUCGAGCGAACAGACGAGGAGCUUGCUCCUCUGACGUUAGCGGCGGACGGGUGAGUAACACGUGGAUAACCUACCUAUAAGACUGGGAUAACUUCGGGAAACCGGAGCUAAUACCGGAUAAUAUAUUGAACCGCAUGGUUCAAUAGUGAAAGACGGUUUUGCUGUCACUUAUAGAUGGAUCCGCGCCGCAUUAGCUAGUUGGUAAGGUAACGGCUUACCAAGGCAACGAUGCGUAGCCGACCUGAGAGGGGGAUCGGCCACACUGGAACUGAGACACGGUCCAGACUCCUACGGGAGGCAGCAGUAGGGAACCGUCCGCAAUGGGCGAAAGCCUGACGGAGCAACGCCGCGUGAGUGAUGAAGGUCUUCGGAUCGUAAAACUCUGUUAUUAGGGAAGAACAAAUGUGUAAGUAACUAUGCACGUCUUGACGGUACCUAAUCAGAAAGCCACGGCUAACUACGUG